This is a long non-coding RNA of Junco hyemalis (dark-eyed junco), 544 nucleotides long. Lineage: Eukaryota; Metazoa; Chordata; Aves; Passeriformes; Passerellidae. The record is from Ensembl.
CAGGAAAAUGCUCUUACCCCAACCCAUCCCAAGGGCCCACACCAGAGAGGGAAGCCAGGAGCACAGGAUCUUCCUAAAGCUGAUGAAGACUCAGAGAUGCCUCUUCUAAGCUCUUUCUUAGGAGAAGCAUCUGUGGAUACAGCUCACCUGUUUCAGCAGAGGGAUCUUUCUGACUGAACCUGUGCACUAUGUGAAGAGAGACACAGAGCAGCUACAUAUUCCACAUUCUUCAGGCCUUCGGUGAGAAAACUGUGCCCUGUGGAUGGGGACCAGCUGCUCAUUCAGGGCACGUAACCCUCUACAAGGUGCUGGGGGUUGUGCCUGGUCCUCUCUGUCACCCUUCUGAGCAGGGGCCAAGCUGUUGCCAAGUUGCCACAUAUCUCCCAAAAAGACAUGGAUGAACAGACAAGGGUGAACACGCUGUUUUGUAAGUCCCAUGCUGAUUAUUUUAAUGACCAAGGGCCCUUCUGAAAACCUUGUGGGGGGUAGAGAACAUCACAGAUGUGACAGGAGCCCAGCAGCUGACUAAAAGCAGUCCUGGGGG